RNAcentral lists this ribosomal RNA (903 nucleotides) under Sugiyamaella grinbergsii. RNAcentral's name for it is "LSU rRNA". It matches the Rfam family "Eukaryotic large subunit ribosomal RNA", at positions 38 to 964 of the family's 3401-position model. The record is from RNAcentral. Lineage: Eukaryota; Fungi; Ascomycota; Dipodascomycetes; Dipodascales; Trichomonascaceae.
GCAUAUCAAUAAGCGGAGGAAAAGAAACCAACAGGGAUUGCCUUAGUAACGGCGAGUGAAGCGGCAAAAGCUCAAAUUUGAAAUCUGGCACCUUUGGUGUCCGAGUUGUAAUUUGAAGAAGGUAACUUUGAGUUUGGUCCUUGCAUAUGUUCCUUGGAACAGGACGUCAUAGAGGGUGAGAAUCCCGUUCUGUGAGGUGGCCAUUCUCUUGUAAAGUGCUUUCGAAGAGUCGAGUUGUUUGGGAAUGCAGCUCUAAGUGGGUGGUAAAUUCCAUCUAAAGCUAAAUAUUGGCGAGAGACCGAUAGCGAACAAGUACAGUGAUGGAAAGAUGAAAAGAACUUUGAAAAGAGAGUGAAAAAGUACGUGAAAUUGUUGAAAGGGAAGGGCUUGAAAUCAGACUUGGUAUUCAGUGAUCAACUAUCUUUCGGGAUUGUGCACUCGCUGUUUACUGGGCCAGUAUCGGUUUUGACGGUGAGAUAAUGGUGUUGGAAUGUGGCUCUUCGGAGUGUUAUAGCCUUCAUUGAUAUCACCAGUUGGGACCGAGGACCGCGCUUUAUAGCUAGGAUACUGGCGUAAUGAUUUUAAGCCACCCGUCUUGAAACACGGACCAAGGAGUCUAACGUCUAUGCGAGUGUUUGGGUGUAAAACCCGUACGCGUAAUGAAAGUGAACGUAGGUGAGGGCCCUCACGGGUGCAUCAUCGACCGAUCCUGAAGUUUUCGGAUGGAUUUGAGUAAGAGCAUAGCUGUUGGGACCCGAAAGAUGGUGAACUAUGCCUGAAUAGGGUGAAGCCAGAGGAAACUCUGGUGGAGGCUCGUAGCGGUUCUGACGUGCAAAUCGAUCGUCAAAUUUGGGUAUAGGGGCGAAAGACUAAUCGAACCAUCUAGUAGCUGGUUCCUGCCGA